UGCAACCACCGAGUAACCACGCCCGGAAUUUUGGAUUUUUAGUUUUUUCUGCAUAUGUAUUUUCUGAGCCUUAAUACUUUAUUGUGAGAAUAUUAUUCGUCGCUUCUAGGGAUUUACUAUGGAAAAUACAGUGAAACGUAAUGUGAGAUAUCAAAAAUGUACUAUUUGUGGUCUAAAGAGGACCCCUGGACUGGAGCCAAUGUAUUUUUGAAGAAGUUUCCACUUGAUCCAGAUCGUUUUCAAGAUAUAACAAAUUCAGAGAAUGUGCAUUGGAAUGAAAAUAUUUUGUCUAAAAGUGAGUAAACUACUUUAUUAUAUUAUAUUUAUUUAUGUUAUGUUGUUAGAAGUAACAAGUGUUUUUAAGAGGUACAGCAUCUUGUUAGUUCAUGUUUGGUUAUGUAAUAUAUUUUUAAUGAUGGAUAAAA
Long non-coding RNA from Melitaea cinxia (Glanville fritillary), 425 nucleotides. RefSeq lists it as uncharacterized. The transcript has 3 exons. Lineage: Eukaryota; Metazoa; Arthropoda; Insecta; Lepidoptera; Nymphalidae. The record is from RefSeq and is a predicted model, not a curated record.